AGCAUCUGAAUUCAAGGACCACCUGGUUUCUCCUAAGCCUGGUCUUUGCUUCAGUUUUAAGGUGAAGGAGUUAAAGAACAUUUUAGAACUGAUGAAAAUGGCCAGGAGUAGAGUAAAGGUGUACUACACCAUCAACGAUGUUCAUGCAGAGCAUGUCCAAGACAUUCUACGCCAAAUUUGACAGCUGUCUUAUUCAACUAAUAACUUUAUUUAAAUAUAAGGCUGGUGGUUUAAGUAUGUCAGCAAAGGUUUUGGCUGAAAUUUAAAACUUUCACAAUUGUUACGUCCCAUCUGCGAGUGGCCAGGCCAUAACACAAGGGAGAUCCAUCCUCGUUAGACUACAAGCAGCAC
Astatotilapia calliptera (eastern happy) is the source of this 351-nucleotide long non-coding RNA. Lineage: Eukaryota; Metazoa; Chordata; Actinopteri; Cichliformes; Cichlidae. The record is from Ensembl.